AUGGAGGAUUCUAUUGAUGACUUCUUGCAAGGUGUUGGCGACAAAGAUAAUAAGCCAGAUGGUUUUCUCGAGAAGAUUAAGCACUCACUCCGCAAGUUGUGGAAGAUGAAGACUCGUCAGCGGAUUGGCAAUGAGAUCCAAGAUCUGAAGAAACAGAUCAUUGAUGUGGGCAAGAGGAAUCAAAGGUACAAGACUAGGCAGGCUGUCUUUGGUACCGUCAACUUGUCCAACACCAAAAAUGUGGUGGUUGACCCAAGAGCUCUUGCUAUCUUUGAGCAUGGCUCAAAGCUCGUUGGAAUUGAUGAGCCCAAGGCCGAGAUAAUUAAAUUGUUGGCUGAAGGUGAAUCAAAACAAGAGCAAACAAAGUCUCUCUCCAUCAUAGGACCAGGAGGAAUGGGAAAGACAACGCUUGCAAACCAAGUUUAUCGAGACCUCAAAGCAAAAUUCGAAUGUCGAGCCUUCUUAUCCAUUUCACGAAAUUCAGACAUCAUCAAUAUCCUAAGAACUAUUCUUAGUAAAGUUACUAGCAAAGGUUACCCUGAUUGUGGCGUCACUAAUUAUCGCAAAUAG
RNAcentral lists this ribosomal RNA (570 nucleotides) under Triticum aestivum (bread wheat). RNAcentral's name for it is "partial small subunit ribosomal RNA". The record is from RNAcentral. Lineage: Eukaryota; Viridiplantae; Streptophyta; Magnoliopsida; Poales; Poaceae.